GAUGAACGCUAGCGGCAGGCUUAACACAUGCAAGUCGAGGGGCAGCAUAAAACAUUGCUUGCAAUGUUUGGUGGCGACCGGCGCACGGGUGCGUAACGCGUAUGCAACCUACCUAUAACAGGGGGAUAACACUGAGAAAUUGGUACUAAUACCCCGUAAUAUUAUUGAAGGCAUCUCUGAUAGUUGAAAGCUCCGGCGGUUAUAGAUGGGCAUGCGUUGUAUUAGCUAGUUGGUGAGGUAACGGCUCACCAAGGCGACGAUACAUAGGGGGACUGAGAGGUUAACCCCCCACAUUGGUACUGAGACACGGACCAA
This 315-nucleotide ribosomal RNA is filed under the name uncultured bacterium. Its description in RNAcentral is "bacterial SSU rRNA". It matches the Rfam family "Bacterial small subunit ribosomal RNA", at positions 28 to 334 of the family's 1533-position model. The record is from RNAcentral.